Molecule: ribosomal RNA, 500 nt
Filed under: uncultured bacterium
Lineage: Bacteria
Description: bacterial SSU rRNA
Rfam family: Bacterial small subunit ribosomal RNA
Source: RNAcentral
GGGGCUCGCAAGACCUCGCGCGUUUGGAGCGGCCGAUAUCUGAUUAGCUAGAUGGUGGGGUAAAGGCUCACCAUGGCGACGAUCAGUAGCUGGUCUGAGAGGAUGAUCAGCCACACUGGAACUGAGACACGGUCCAGACUCCUACGGGAGGCAGCAGUGGGGAAUUUUGGACAAUGGGGGAAACCCUGAUCCAGCCAUUCCGCGUGAGUGAAGAAGGCCUUCGGGUUGUAAAGCUCUUUCGGCAGGAACGAAACGGUGGACCCUAAUACGGUCCAUUACUGACGGUACCUGAAGAAGAAGCACCGGCUAACUACGUGCCAGCAGCCGCGGUAAUACGUAGGGUGCGAGCGUUAAUCGGAAUUACUGGGCGUAAAGCGUGCGCAGGCGGUGAUCCAAGUCAGAUGUGAAAUCCCCGGGCUUAACCUGGGAACUGCAUUUGAAACUAGGUCGCUAGAGUAUGGCAAAAGGGGGUAGAAUUCCACGUGUAGCAGUGGAAAUGC